Molecule: ribosomal RNA, 497 nt
Filed under: uncultured bacterium
Lineage: Bacteria
Description: partial 16S ribosomal RNA
Rfam family: Bacterial small subunit ribosomal RNA
Source: RNAcentral
GACGAACGCUGGCGGCGUGCCUAAUACAUGCAAGUUGAGCGCUGAAGGUUGGUACUUGUACCGACUGGAUGAGCAGCGAACGGGUGAGUAACGCGUGGGGAAUCUGCCUUUGAGCGGGGGACAACAUUUGGAAACGAAUGCUAAUACCGCAUAAAAACUUUAAACACAAGUUUUAAGUUUGAAAGAUGCAAUUGCAUCACUCAAAGAUGAUCCCGCGUUGUAUUAGCUAGUUGGUGAGGUAAAGGCUCACCAAGGCGAUGAUGCAUAGCCGACCUGAGAGGGUGAUCGGCCACAUUGGGACUGAGACACGGCCCAAACUCCUACGGGAGGCAGCAGUAGGGAAUCUUCGGCAAUGGACGAAAGUCUGACCGAGCAACGCCGCGUGAGUGAAGAAGGUUUUCGGAUCGUAAAACUCUGUUGGUAGAGAAGAACGUUGGUGAGAGUGGAAAGCUCAUCAAGUGACGGUAACUACCCAGAAAGGGACGGCUAACUACGUG